CCUACGGGAGGCAGCAGUCGAGAAUCAUUCACAAUGGGGGAAACCCUGAUGGUGCGACGCCGCGUGGGGGAAUGAAGGUCUUCGGAUUGUAAACCCCUGUCAUGUGGGAGCAAAUUAAAAAGAUAGUACCACUAGAGGAAGAGACAGCUAACUCUGUGCCAGCAGCCGCGGUAAUACAGAGGUCUCAAGCGUGGUUCGGAAGCCCUGGGCGUAAAGCGUGCGUAGGCUGUGUCGUAAGUCGUGUGUGAAAGGCGCGGGCUCAACCCGCGGACGGCACAUGAUACUGCGAGACUAGAGUAAUGGAGGGGGAACCGGAAUUCUCGGUGUAGCAGUGAAAUGCGUAGAUAUCGAGAGGAACACUCGUGGCGAAGGCGGGUUCCUGGACAUUAACUGACGCUGAGGCACGAAGGCCAGGGGAGCGAAAGGGAUUAGAUACCCCAGUAGUC
Molecule: ribosomal RNA, 446 nt
Filed under: uncultured bacterium
Lineage: Bacteria
Description: partial 16S ribosomal RNA
Rfam family: Bacterial small subunit ribosomal RNA
Source: RNAcentral